RNAcentral lists this unclassified non-coding RNA (329 nucleotides) under soil metagenome. RNAcentral's name for it is "partial contains 5.8S ribosomal RNA, internal transcribed spacer 2, and large subunit ribosomal RNA". The stretch from base 1 to 120 matches the Rfam family "5.8S ribosomal RNA", at positions 35 to 154 of the family's 154-position model. The record is from RNAcentral.
GAUGAAGAACGCAGUGAAAUGCGAUAAGUAAUGUGAAUUGCAGAAUUCAGUGAAUCAUCGAAUCUUUGAACGCACAUUGCGCCCCUUGGUAUCCCGAGGGGCAUGCCUGUUCGAGCGUCAUUUCACCACUCAAGCCUGGCUUGGUGUUGGGCGACGUCCCCUUUGGGGACGCGCCUUGAAACGCUCGGCGGCGUGGCACCGGCUUUAAGCGUAGCAGAAUCUUUCGCUUUGGAAGUCGGGGCCCCGUCUGCCGGAAGACCUACUCGCAAGGUUGACCUCGGAUCAGGCAGGGAUACCCGCUGAACUUAAGCAUAUCAAUAAGCGGAGGA